UAAUACGGAGGGUGCAAGCGUUGUUCGGAUUCAUUGGGCUUAAAGCGCGCGUAGGCGGGGUGGCGGGUGCCUUGUGAAAUCCCUCGGCUCAACCGAGGAACUGCUCGGCAAACCUCCACUCUUGAGGCAGGUAGAGGCGACUGGAACCUUUGGUGGAGCGGUGAAAUGCGUAGAGAUCAAAGGGAACACCGAUGGCGAAAGCGAGUCGCUGGGCCUGUCCUGACGCUGAGGUGCGAAAGCGUGGGUAGCAAACAGGAUUAGAUACCCUGGUAGUCCACGCCGUAAACGAUGCGCACUAGGUAUGGGAACCUCUGACGGUGACCGUGCCGAAGCAAAAGCGAUCAGUGCGCCGCCUGGGGAGUACGGCCGCAAGGCUA
Molecule: ribosomal RNA, 377 nt
Filed under: uncultured Planctomycetota bacterium
Lineage: Bacteria; Pseudomonadati; Planctomycetota
Description: bacterial SSU rRNA
Rfam family: Bacterial small subunit ribosomal RNA
Source: RNAcentral